Gymnothorax javanicus (giant moray) is the source of this 72-nucleotide non-coding RNA. NCBI's taxonomy places the organism in Eukaryota, Metazoa, Chordata, Actinopteri, Anguilliformes, Muraenidae. The record is from the annotation of a GenBank genome assembly.
GCCGGAUAGCUCACUUGGUAAAGCAUCGCGUCGAAGUGACUAUCACGUCGCGGGUUCGAGCCCCGCUUCGCA